This is a non-coding RNA of Gopherus evgoodei (Goodes thornscrub tortoise), 82 nucleotides long. NCBI's taxonomy places the organism in Eukaryota, Metazoa, Chordata, Testudines, Testudinidae. The record is from the annotation of a RefSeq genome assembly.
GGUGAGGUGGCUGAGUGGUUAAGGCAAUGGACUGUAAAUCCACUGUGCUUUGCACGCAUGGGUUCGUAUCCUAUCCUCAUAA